Molecule: ribosomal RNA, 253 nt
Filed under: uncultured bacterium
Lineage: Bacteria
Description: partial 16S ribosomal RNA
Rfam family: Bacterial small subunit ribosomal RNA
Source: RNAcentral
UACGUAGGGGGCAAGCGUUGUUCGGAAUUACUGGGCGUAAAGGGCGCGUAGGCGGCACGACGAGUCGGGAGUGAAAGCUUGGGGCUCAACCCCGAGACGCCGGUGGAAACCGUGUGGCUAGAGUCCGGAAGAGGAGAGUGGAAUUCCUGGUGUAGCGGUGAAAUGCGCAGAUAUCAGGAAGAACACCCGUGGCGAAGGCGGCUCUCUGGGACGGUACUGACGCUGAGACGCGAAAGCGUGGGGAGCAAACAGG